This 443-nucleotide ribosomal RNA is filed under the name uncultured bacterium. RNAcentral's name for it is "partial 16S ribosomal RNA". It matches the Rfam family "Bacterial small subunit ribosomal RNA", at positions 338 to 795 of the family's 1533-position model. The record is from RNAcentral.
CCUACGGGAGGCAGCAGUGGGGCAUAUUGGACCAUGGGGGGAACCCUGAUCCAGCGACGCCGCGUGAGUGAAGAAGUAUUUCGGUAUGUAAAGCUCUAUCAGCAGGGAAGAAAGAAAUGACGGUACCUGACUAAGAAGCCCCGGCUAACUACGUGCCAGCAGCCGCGGUAAUACGUAGGGGGCAAGCGUUAUCCGGAUUUACUGGGUGUAAGGGGAGCGUAGACGGCGGUGCAAGUCUGAAGUGAAAGGCGGGGGCCCACCCCCAGAACUGCUUUGGAAACUGUAUGGCUUGAGUGCAGGAGAGGUAAGUGGAAUUCCUAGUGGAGCGGUGAAAUGCGUAGAUAUUAGGAGGAACACCAGUGGCGAAGGCGGCUUACUGGACUGUAACUGACGUUGAGGCUCGAAAGCGUGGGGAGCAAAUAGGAUUAGAUACCCUUGUAGUC